GAAAUGCGUAGAGAUGUGGAGGAACACCGAUGGCGAAGGCAGCCCCCUGGGAUGACACUGACACUCAUGUACGAAAGCGUGGGUAGCAAACAGGAUUAGAUACCCUGGUAGUCCACGCCCUAAACGAUGUCAACUGGUUGUUGGGGGAGUGAAAUCCCUUAGUAACGAAGCUAACGCGUGAAGUUGACCGCCUGGGGAGUACGGUCGCAAGAUUAAAACUCAAAGGAAUUGACGGGGACCCGCACAAGCGGUGGAUGAUGUGGAUUAAUUCGAUGCAACGCGAAAAACCUUACCUACCCUUGACAUGUCCGGAAUCCUGCAGAGAUGCGGGAGUGCCCGAAAGGGAAUCGGAACACAGGUGCUGCAUGGCUGUCGUCAGCUCGUGUCGUGAGAUGUUGGGUUAAGUCCCGCAACGAGCGCAACCCUUAUCAUUAGUCGCUACGCAAGGGCACUCUAAUGAGACUGCCGGUGACAAACCGGAGGAAGGUGGGGAUGACGUCAAGUCCUCAUGGCCCUUAUGGGUAGGGCUUCACACGUCAUACAAUGGUCGGUACAGAGGGUUGCCAAGCCGCGAGGUGGAGCCAAUCCCAGAAAGCCGAUCGUAGUCCGGAUUGUUCUCUGCAACUCGAGAGCAUGAAGUCGGAAUCGCUAGUAAUCGCGGAUCGGCAUGUCGCGGUGAAUACGUUCCCGGGUCUUGUACACACCGCCCGUCACACCAUGGGAGUGGAAUCUGGCAGAAGUAGGUAGCCUAACCGCAAGGAGGGCGCUUACCACGCUGGGUUUCAUGACUGGGGUGAAGU
RNAcentral lists this ribosomal RNA (800 nucleotides) under uncultured bacterium. Its description in RNAcentral is "bacterial SSU rRNA". It matches the Rfam family "Bacterial small subunit ribosomal RNA", at positions 683 to 1486 of the family's 1533-position model. The record is from RNAcentral.